UUCAAAAACUGCAAUGAGAGAAGCUGGCGAGGUACUUAAAUGCAAGUGGGCCACCAACAAAAGCUGUUGCAGAGUGGAAACGAAUUUGGACACUUCGGAAAUAAAAAAAACUCACUGAAAACAAAAAAUUAAUUAAGAAAACUGGUGGUGGCCCAUUUGACUUAAAGCAGCUCGAUGAAAGCGAAGAAGUAGUUGCUGCUUGUGGGAUGAAAACUUCAGUGACAGGCAUUGAAGGAGCCCUAACGUUUGGCACCACCGUGGACACACAAG
Long non-coding RNA from Eupeodes corollae, 270 nucleotides. RefSeq lists it as uncharacterized. The record is from RefSeq and is a predicted model, not a curated record. Lineage: Eukaryota; Metazoa; Arthropoda; Insecta; Diptera; Syrphidae. The transcript has 2 exons.